RNAcentral lists this long non-coding RNA (247 nucleotides) under Carica papaya (papaya). Its description in RNAcentral is "long non-coding RNA (CPAP_LNC005213)". Lineage: Eukaryota; Viridiplantae; Streptophyta; Magnoliopsida; Brassicales; Caricaceae. The record is from RNAcentral.
CGUCCGGUAUGAGGGUGAAACGGGCCGUCCCCAUACCCCGUCCAGUAUGGGCUCCAAAACACAUAAGGUCUCCAUAUCCCGUCCGAUAUGAGAGACCACGUUCCCGGUAGGGUUCCCUACGGAUCCGGUCCGUCCACCAUCUCCCAGGAUAUCUAGUCAGGCUGUUCACAUUAUCCAUUUAUUAAUUCACAUAACAUUUUUCCCAUUUUCAUUGGUCUCAAUUUUCCAAUCACAUUUUUCCCAUUUU